This 468-nucleotide ribosomal RNA is filed under the name uncultured bacterium. RNAcentral's name for it is "partial 16S ribosomal RNA". It matches the Rfam family "Bacterial small subunit ribosomal RNA", at positions 28 to 507 of the family's 1533-position model. The record is from RNAcentral.
GACGAACGCUGGCGGCGUGCUUAACACAUGCAAGUCGAACGGAAAGGCCCUGCUUUUGUGGGGUGCUCGAGUGGCGAACGGGUGAGUAACACGUGAGUAACCUGCCCUUGACUUUGGGAUAACUUCAGGAAACUGGGGCUAAUACCGGAUAGGAGCUCCUGCUGCAUGGUGGGGGUUGGAAAGUUUCGGCGGUUGGGGAUGGACUCGCGGCUUAUCAGCUUGUUGGUGGGGUAGUGGCUUACCAAGGCUUUGACGGGUAGCCGGCCUGAGAGGGUGACCGGCCACAUUGGGACUGAGCUACGGCCCAGACUCCUACGGGAGGCAGCAGUGGGGAAUAUUGCACAAUGGGCGGAAGCCUGAUGCAGCAACGCCGCGUGCGGGAUGACGGCCUUCGGGUUGUAAACCGCUUUCGCCUGUGACGAAGCGUGAGUGACGGUAAUGUGUAAAGAAGCACCGGCUAACUACGUG